UUAGGAAUUUUGGGCAAUGGCCGCAAGGCUGACCCAGCAACGCCGCGUGGGGACGAAGGCCUUCGGGUUGUAAACCCCUUUUCCCAGGGACGAUGAUGACGGUACCUGGGGAAUAAGCCCCGGCUAACUACGUGCCAGCAGCCGCGGUAAUACGUAGGGGGCGAGCGUUGUCCGGAUUCAUUGGGCGUAAAGCGCGCGUAGGCGGCCCCGCAAGUCGGCCGUGAAAUCUCCGGGCUCAACUCGGAGGGGUCGGGCGAGACUGCGAGGCUCGAGGUGGGCAGAGGGCAGUGGAAUUCCGGGUGUAGUGGUGGAAUGCGUAGAGAUCCGGAGGGACACCAGUGGCGAAGGCGGCUGCCUGGGCCUGGCCUGACGCUGAGGCGCGAAGGCGUGGGGAGCAAUCCGGAUUAGAUACCCGGGUAGUCCACGCCGUAAACGAUGGGUACUAGGUGUCGGGGGUAUCGACCCCUCGGUGCCGGCGCUAACGCAAUAAGUACCCCGCCUGGGGAGUACGGCCGCAAGGCUAAAACUCAAAGGAAUU
RNAcentral lists this ribosomal RNA (538 nucleotides) under uncultured bacterium. Its description in RNAcentral is "bacterial SSU rRNA". It matches the Rfam family "Bacterial small subunit ribosomal RNA", at positions 355 to 911 of the family's 1533-position model. The record is from RNAcentral.